GUGCUCCCUUUGGCAGCACAUACACUAAAAUUGGAACGAUACAGAGAAGACCAACACGGCCCCUGAGCAAGGACGACACACAAAUCCGUGAAGCAUUCCAUAUUUUU
This is a small nuclear RNA of Trichechus manatus latirostris (Florida manatee), 107 nucleotides long. The record is from RefSeq and is a predicted model, not a curated record. NCBI's taxonomy places the organism in Eukaryota, Metazoa, Chordata, Mammalia, Sirenia, Trichechidae.